UGACAAGGAGUCCAGAGAGAUUCCUGUAGC
This 30-nucleotide non-coding RNA is filed under the name Homo sapiens (human). Lineage: Eukaryota; Metazoa; Chordata; Mammalia; Primates; Hominidae. The record is from RNAcentral.